This 641-nucleotide long non-coding RNA is filed under the name Cotesia glomerata. RNAcentral's name for it is "uncharacterized LOC123263601". The record is from RNAcentral. Lineage: Eukaryota; Metazoa; Arthropoda; Insecta; Hymenoptera; Braconidae.
UUUUAUUUUUUAUUGAAAAACUGGCCCUAUGUAUCAAAUGUGACGUUGGUUAUUUAUUACGUGGCAAUUAAAUUUAAAUUGACUAUAUAAAAAAAAUUAAAGGCGACAUCGUAUCAUAGCAAUAAUUUUGAUACAUAAUAAAGAAAAUUUUAUUCAAAUAUCACAAUAGUGAGAAGUAAAAUGGUAAAAAUUAAAUUGUUUGAGAACCAAGCAGUACGGACUUUUUUCCAGGGUCAAGCAACAAAUUUUACAGGGUUUAUUGCUAGAAUAUUAGGAUUUAAGAGAGUAAAUAAUCAAUGUAAAUUUAUUUUUUUGAUUUCGGAGGGAUUUUUGACAAGAUACAUGAUAUGUUUUGACAAUCCUCCAAACGAUGUAUUGAAGAGGAUGGAAUUGCACCAGAUUGUUAUUAUUAAACGAUCAAGACCAAGAUUUGGGAUUAUUCAAGAGCUAACUAACGAUCCUCUUGUAAAUGAAUUCAGGUUCGAAAUUAAAAAUAUCAAAAAUUUGAUUAUAACAAAUAUAAAAUUAGAAAUGGACGAUUUUAUAAACAUGCCUAAUUUUGGAGUUGAGCUUGAAUCAGAGGAUGAAAAUUAAGGUAUGAUAAAAAUUAAGAAAUUAAGCGUGUGAGAAAUUAUUACGAA